This 448-nucleotide long non-coding RNA is filed under the name Medicago truncatula (barrel medic). RNAcentral describes it as "long non-coding RNA (MTRU_LNC002490)". Lineage: Eukaryota; Viridiplantae; Streptophyta; Magnoliopsida; Fabales; Fabaceae. The record is from RNAcentral.
AAGAAGCUGUGAAAUUCAAUUGAAGAAAAAAAAAUAAUGGAUGAUGAAGACAUUGUUGCCAGGCAUGUGAUUUCAGAAGCACAAAAGAAGAAGAAGAAAAAGAAUAUGGCAAAUAGAGAGGAAGAAGAUGGAAACAACAAGGGUUUUUAAUUUCAAAUUUUUAACUUCGUGAUUUUUAAUUUCGUCCUUCUGUAACUUUUCGUUUUUAGUUUUGGUCCCUGUAAUAUAGUCAGGGAUCAUCUGUCAGUCCACAUAAGCGUGUUUGGCCAAGUCAGCACCUGCUACGUCACUCACCGUUAGUCAGCAAGGCGUUUUUGUAACAGAGUUUGACUGGAGGGACGAAAAGCAAAAGGUUAUUAACUUACAGGGGUUGUUUUAGAACAAAAAAAGAUACAGGGACGAAAACCAAAAACACGCCAAAUUACAGGGACGAUUUACAUAUUUAAGC